GKKSKCSKSMRGGGYGSAGSSCUUACGGAAGGGUGCAUUUAUUAGAACAAAACCAAGCGACUUCGGUCGUUUUUYGUUGACUCAGAAUAACUAAGCUGAUCGCAUGGUCUUGCACUGGARACGKGKCUUUCAAGUAUCUGCCUUAUCAACUUUCGAUGGUAGUGUAUCUGACUACCAUGGUGGUGACGGGUAACGGAGGARAAGGGUUUGACUCCGGAGAAGGGGCCUGAGAAAUGGCCACUACGUCUAAGGAUGGCAGCAGGCGCGCAAAUUACCCACUCUCAGAACGAGGAGGUAGUGACGAAAAAUAACGAGACCGUUCUCUACGAGGCCGGUCAUCGGAAUGGGUACAAUCUAAACCCUUUAACGAGUAUCUAUGAGAGGGCAAGUCUGGUGCCAGCAGCCGCGGUAAUUCCAGCUCUCAAAAUGCAUAGAAUUWUUGCUGCGGUUAAAAAGCUCGUAGUUGGAUCUGUGCUGAGGACCUGGUCCACCUUCGGGUGCGUACUAGGCUCCACGGCUUUUCUGCCGGUUUUCCCGUCAUGGCUUUCAUCGGCUGUGGCGGGUGGCUGGUGAUUUUACUUUGAACAAAUCAGAGUGCUUCAAACAGGCGUUUAGCUUGAAUGUUUUUGCAUGGAAUAAUAGAAGAGGAUUUCGGUUCUAUUUUAUUGGUUUUAUAGACUGAAAUAAUGKUUAACAGAGACCAACSGGGGGCAUUCGUACUGUUGCGUGAGARGGUGAAAAU
Molecule: ribosomal RNA, 742 nt
Filed under: Ditylenchus dipsaci
Lineage: Eukaryota; Metazoa; Nematoda; Chromadorea; Rhabditida; Anguinidae
Description: partial 18S ribosomal RNA
Rfam family: Eukaryotic small subunit ribosomal RNA
Source: RNAcentral